Molecule: transfer RNA, 73 nt
Filed under: Apaloderma vittatum (bar-tailed trogon)
Lineage: Eukaryota; Metazoa; Chordata; Aves; Trogoniformes; Trogonidae
Rfam family: tRNA
About the family: Transfer RNA (tRNA) molecules are approximately 80 nucleotides in length. Their secondary structure includes four short double-helical elements and three loops (D, anti-codon, and T loops).
Source: Rfam by way of RNAcentral
GGCUGGUUAGCUCAGUCGGUUGGAGCGUGAUGCUGAUAACACCAAGGUCAUAGGUUCGAUCCCCGUUCGGUCC